AGCGCAGACGGUUAUUUAAGCAAGAUGUGAAAGCCCCGGGCUCAACCUGGGAACUGCGUUUUGAACUGGGUAACUAGAGUGUGUCAGAGGGGGGUAGAAUUCCACGUGUAGCAGUGAAAUGCGUAGAGAUGUGGAGGAAUACCGAUGGCGAAGGCAGCCCCCUGGGAUAACACUGACGUUCAUGCUCGAAAGCGUGGGUAAGCAAACAG
This 209-nucleotide ribosomal RNA is filed under the name uncultured bacterium. RNAcentral's name for it is "partial 16S ribosomal RNA". It matches the Rfam family "Bacterial small subunit ribosomal RNA", at positions 568 to 775 of the family's 1533-position model. The record is from RNAcentral.